This 253-nucleotide ribosomal RNA is filed under the name uncultured bacterium. RNAcentral describes it as "partial 16S ribosomal RNA". It matches the Rfam family "Bacterial small subunit ribosomal RNA", at positions 524 to 776 of the family's 1533-position model. The record is from RNAcentral.
UACGGAGGGGGCUAGCGUUGUUCGGAAUUACUGGGCGUAAAGCGCACGUAGGCGGCUUUGUAAGUCAGGGGUGAAAGCCUGGAGCUCAACUCCAGAACUGCCUUUGAGACUGCAUCGCUUGAAUCCGGGAGAGGUGAGUGGAAUUCCGAGUGUAGAGGUGAAAUUCGUAGAUAUUCGGAAGAACACCAGUGGCGAAGGCGGCUCACUGGCCCGAUACUGACGCUGAGGCACGAAAGCGUGGGGAGCAAACAGG